GGGGCUUGACGUGUACCGGAUCGAUAUAGAGAUAUAUUUUCCCUUCGGGGCUGGUACAUCAGGUGCUGCACGGCUGUCGUCAGCUCGUGUCGUGAGAUGUUGGGUUAAGUCCUCUAACGAGCGCAACCCCUAUUCACAGUUGCCAUCAGGUAAUGCUGGGCACUCUGCGGAGACUGCCGGUGACAAGCCGGAGGAAGGUGGGGACGACGUCAAGUCAUCGUGGCCCUUAUGUCCCGGGCUGCAAACGUGCUACAAUGGCUGGUACAAAGGGAAGCAAUACCGCGAGGUUGAGCAAAUCCUAAAAACCGGUCUCAGUUCGGAUUGUAGUCUGCAACUCGACUACAUGAAG
RNAcentral lists this ribosomal RNA (349 nucleotides) under uncultured bacterium. RNAcentral's name for it is "bacterial SSU rRNA". It matches the Rfam family "Bacterial small subunit ribosomal RNA", at positions 976 to 1325 of the family's 1533-position model. The record is from RNAcentral.